This 404-nucleotide long non-coding RNA is filed under the name Pan troglodytes (chimpanzee). RNAcentral's name for it is "long non-coding RNA NONPTRT002367". Lineage: Eukaryota; Metazoa; Chordata; Mammalia; Primates; Hominidae. The record is from RNAcentral.
CGCGGUGCAUGGGGCUAGAACUCAGGGCCCAGCAGGUCUGACAAUGCAGGUUUCCCCGCUCGCCUGUUGGGUUUUUGAAACGCCCUCAGCGGGGUUUUCCUCCUAAUUCUGGUUUGGAGGAGCCAUCUCUCUCCAUCCCGUCUGCCAGCGGGGUUUGCUUCACACACAGACGUGGGCAGAUGGCAUCGGGGACACAGGGGACCUUGGAAGAAGAUACUUUAUGUGGACGGUACUGGGACAACUGCUGAAGAAACAACAGACAUGAAGGCAUACUUGACACCAACAUAGAGAUACCCAUCCGUCACCUUUGAUCUCCCCUCCCCCAUGCCACUGAGAAAUAAUUUUUUAAAAAAUAGAAGCAAAAUGGCAAACUAGACAAUUUGAGACUUAAAUAAAAAUAGCUU